RNAcentral lists this ribosomal RNA (213 nucleotides) under Triticum aestivum (bread wheat). RNAcentral's name for it is "partial small subunit ribosomal RNA". Lineage: Eukaryota; Viridiplantae; Streptophyta; Magnoliopsida; Poales; Poaceae. The record is from RNAcentral.
AUGCCGCACCAAACGGCCGCUCGUCGGCUUCUCUCAGAUCUCAUCAACUCGAGGAGAGGGGACGGAGGGAGCAAGGGAGCGUACCAUGCGAGCGGUCGAGCAGGGGAUCGAGCGGGGAGGCCCUGGCGAUCUGGCCAGGCAGGGGCGCGGUCAACUCUCGAUGAGGCAGAAGAUCACCAACGCUCGAUGCGUCUUGGCAAGGGCGAUGCUUGA